GGACAAACUGUGGCUCAGUGACAGAGCACCCACCUUCCAUGCAGAAGGUCCCAGGUUCAAUUCCUGGCAUCUCCA
RNAcentral lists this transfer RNA (75 nucleotides) under Sphaerodactylus townsendi. Its description in RNAcentral is "tRNA-Gly". The stretch from base 9 to 69 matches the Rfam family "tRNA", at positions 6 to 65 of the family's 71-position model. From Rfam's summary of the family: Transfer RNA (tRNA) molecules are approximately 80 nucleotides in length. Their secondary structure includes four short double-helical elements and three loops (D, anti-codon, and T loops). The record is from RNAcentral. Lineage: Eukaryota; Metazoa; Chordata; Lepidosauria; Squamata; Sphaerodactylidae.